RNAcentral lists this ribosomal RNA (460 nucleotides) under NC10 bacterium enrichment culture. Its description in RNAcentral is "bacterial SSU rRNA". It matches the Rfam family "Bacterial small subunit ribosomal RNA", at positions 977 to 1434 of the family's 1533-position model. Lineage: Bacteria; Methylomirabilota (SeqCode). The record is from RNAcentral.
GGGCUUGACAUCCCACGAACCUGCCCGAAAAGGUGGGGUGCCCGCAAGGGAGCGUGGAGACAGGUGGUGCAUGGCUGUCGUCAGCUCGUGUCGUGAGAUGUUGGGUUAAGUCCCGCAACGAGCGCAACCCUCACCCCUAGUUGCCACCGGGUUAAGCCGAGCACUCAAGGGGAACUGCCAGCGUCAAGCUGGAGGAAGGCGGGGAUGACGUCAAGUCGUCAUGCCCCUUACGCCCUGGGCUACACACGUGCUACAAUGGCCAGUACAAAGGGACGCGAGACUGCGAAGUGGAGCUAAUCCCAAAAAGCUGGUCUAAGUUCAGAUUGCAGUCUGCAACUCGACUGCAUGAAGGAGGAAUCGCUAGUAAUCGCGUAUCAGCCCGGCGCGGUGAAUACGUUCCCGGGCCUUGUACACACCGCCCGUCGCACCACGAAAGCUGUCUGUACUCGAAGUCGCUGAG